UCCUGCGGCGAAGAUGUAACGGGGCUCAAGCCACGAGCCGAAGCUCAGGAUGCACAGCGAUGUGCGUGGUAGCGGAGCGUUCUGUGAUAUAGCUCAUCAUGUCUUAUCUGCAGCGAUGCGGAGACGGACAUGGAGAGCUUUCUGUGAAGCCGGGCUGUAAGGCAUCCGGUGGAGAGAUCAGAAGCGAGAAUGUUGACAUGAGUAGCGACAAACAGGGUGAGAAACCCUGUCGCCGAAAGUCCAAGGGUUCCUGCUUAAAGCUAAUCUGAGCAGGGUAAGCCGGCCCCUAAGGCGAGGCCGAAAGGCGUAGUCGAUGGGAACCACGUUAAUAUUCGUGGGCCAGGGGGAAGUGACGGAUCUCAAAGAUUGUCUGCCCUUAUCGGAUUGGGUGGGCCGUUCAGAGGUUCCAGGAAAUAGCCCUCCACCAGACCGUACCCUAAACCGACACAGGUGGACUGGUAGAGUAUACCAAGGCGCUUGAGAGAACCACGUUAAAGGAACUCGGCAAAAUGCCUCCGUAAGUUCGCGAGAAGGAGGCCCCAUAUGUGCGCAAGCAUGUGUGGGGGGCACAAACUAGGGGGUGGCGACUGUUUACUUAAAACACAGGGCUGUGCGAAGCCGUAAGGCGACGUAUACAGUCUGACGCCUGCCCGGUGCUGGAAGAUUAAGAGGAGGGGUGCAAGCUCUGAAUUGAAGUCCCAGUAAACGGCGGCCGUAACUAUAACGGUCCUAAGGUAGCGAAAUUCCUUGUCGGGUAAGUUCCGACCUGCACGAAUGGCGUAACGAUCUCCCCGCUGUCUCUAACGUGGACUCAGCGAAAUUGAACUGUCUGUCAAGAUGCAGACUACCCGCGGUUAGACGGAAAGACCCCAUGAACCUUUACUCCAGCUUUGCAUUGGCAACAGGACUGUGAUGUGCAGGAUAGGUGGUAGGCAUUGAAGCGGGGACGCCAGUCUUCGUGGAGCCUCCCUUGAGAUACCACCCUUCGCCAUCUUGAUAUCUAACCGCGGCCCGUUAUCCGGGUCCGGGACCCUGCAUGGUGGGGAGUUUGACUGGGGCGGUCGCCUCCCAAAUUGUAACGGAGGCGCGCGAUGGUUGGCUCAGACCGGUCGGAAAUCGGUCGUUGAGUGCAAUGGCAGAAGCCAGCCUGACUGCAAGACUGACAAGUCGAGCAGAGACGAAAGUCGGUCAUAGUGAUCCGGUGGUCCCAAGUGGGAGGGCCAUCGCUCAACGGAUAAAAGGUACUCUGGGGAUAACAGGCUGAUGAUGCCCAAGAGUCCAUAUCGACGGCAUCGUUUGGCACCUCGAUGUCGGCUCAUCUCAUCCUGGGGCUGGAGCAGGUCCCAAGGGUAUGGCUGUUCGCCAUUUAAAGAGGUACGUGAGCUGGGUUUAGAACGUCGUGAGACAGUUCGGUCCCUAUCUGCCGUGGGUGCAGGAGACUUGAGAAGAGUUGACCCUAGUACGAGAGGACCGGGUUGAACGAACCACUGGUGGACCAGUUAUCGUGCCAACGGUAGUGCUGGGUAGCUAUGUUCGGACAGGAUAACCGCUGAAGGCAUCUAAGCGGGAAGCCCCCUUCAAAACAAGGUCUCCCUUGAGGGCCGUGGAAGACCACCACGUCGAUAGGCCAGAGGUGUAAGUGCAGCAAUGCAUUCAGCUGACUGGUACUAAUUGCCCGAUUGGCUUGAUC
Molecule: ribosomal RNA, 1690 nt
Filed under: activated sludge metagenome
Description: bacterial LSU rRNA
Rfam family: Bacterial large subunit ribosomal RNA
Source: RNAcentral